UACGGAGGGGGCUAGCGUUGUUCGGAAUUACUGGGCGUAAAGCGCGCGUAGGCGGCUUUGUAAGUUAGAGGUGAAAGCCCGGAGCUCAACUCCGGAAUUGCCUUUAAGACUGCAUCGCUAGAAUCAUGGAGAGGUGAGUGGAAUUCCGAGUGUAGAGGUGAAAUUCGUAGAUAUUCGGAAGAACACCAGUGGCGAAAGGCGACUCACUGGACAUGUAUUGACGCUGAGGUGCGAAAGCGUGGGAG
This 245-nucleotide ribosomal RNA is filed under the name uncultured bacterium. RNAcentral describes it as "partial 16S ribosomal RNA". It matches the Rfam family "Bacterial small subunit ribosomal RNA", at positions 524 to 767 of the family's 1533-position model. The record is from RNAcentral.